UGCGUAGGCGGUUGGCAAAGUCAGCUGUGAAAGCCCCGGGCUUAACCUGGGAAUGGCGGUUGAAACUAGUCGACUAGAAUCUGGCAGAGGGGGGUGGAAUUCCACGUGUAGCAGUGAAAUGCGUAGAGAUGUGGAGGAACACCGAUGGCGAAGGCAGCCCCCUGGGCUGAGAUUGACGCUCAGGCACGAAAGCGUGGGGAGCAAACAGGAUUAGAUACCCUGGUAGUCCACGCCCUAAACGAUGUCAACUAGGUGUUGGGAGCGCAAGUUCUCAGUACCGCAGCUAACGCGUGAAGUUGACCGCCUGGGGAGUACGGUCGCAAGAUUAAA
This 330-nucleotide ribosomal RNA is filed under the name uncultured bacterium. RNAcentral's name for it is "bacterial SSU rRNA". It matches the Rfam family "Bacterial small subunit ribosomal RNA", at positions 568 to 898 of the family's 1533-position model. The record is from RNAcentral.